GAUGAACGCUGACAGAAUGCUUAACACAUGCAAGUCAACUUGAACUUCGGUUUGGGUGGCGGACGGGUGAGUAACGCGUAAAGAACUUGCCUCACAGUUAGGGACAACAUUUGGAAACGAAUGCUAAUACCUGAUAUUAUGAUUUUAGGGCAUCCUAGAAUUAUGAAAGCUAUAUGCGCUGUGAGAGAGCUUUGCGUCCCAUUAGCUAGUUGGAGGGGUAACGGCUCACCAAGGCGAUGAUGGGUAGCCGGCCUGAGAGGGUGAACGGCCACAAGGGGACUGAGACACGGCCCUUACUCCUACGGGAGGCAGCAGUGGGGAAUAUUGGACAAUGGACCAAGAGUCUGAUCCAGCAAUUCUGUGUGCACGAUGAAGUUUUUCGGAAUGUAAAGUGCUUUCAGUUGGGAAGAAAAAAAUGACGGUACCAACAGAAGAAGUGACGGCUAAAUACGUG
This 454-nucleotide ribosomal RNA is filed under the name uncultured bacterium. RNAcentral describes it as "partial 16S ribosomal RNA". It matches the Rfam family "Bacterial small subunit ribosomal RNA", at positions 28 to 507 of the family's 1533-position model. The record is from RNAcentral.